GAUGAAGAACGCAGCGAAAUGCGAUAAGUAAUGUGAAUUGCAGAAUUCAGUGAAUCAUCGAAUCUUUGAACGCACAUUGCGCCCCCUGGUAUUCCGGGGGGCAUGCCUGUCCGAGCGUCAUUAUAACCCUCAAGCUCAGCUUGGUGUUGGGGCCUGCUGCAGUGGCAGCCCUUAAAAUCAGUGGCGGCGCCAUCUGGCUCUAAGCGUAGUAAUUCUUCUCGCUAUGGAGUCCUGGUGGAUGCUUGCCAUCAACCCCCAAUUUUUCUAUGGUUGACCUCGGAUCAGGUAGGGAUACCCGCUGAACUUAAGCAUAUCAAUAAGCGGAGGA
This 328-nucleotide unclassified non-coding RNA is filed under the name soil metagenome. Its description in RNAcentral is "partial contains 5.8S ribosomal RNA, internal transcribed spacer 2, and large subunit ribosomal RNA". The stretch from base 1 to 120 matches the Rfam family "5.8S ribosomal RNA", at positions 35 to 154 of the family's 154-position model. The record is from RNAcentral.